This 1198-nucleotide ribosomal RNA is filed under the name uncultured bacterium. RNAcentral describes it as "bacterial SSU rRNA". It matches the Rfam family "Bacterial small subunit ribosomal RNA", at positions 8 to 1252 of the family's 1533-position model. The record is from RNAcentral.
AGAGUUUGAUCCUGGCUCAGAACGUACGCUGGCGGCACGCCUAACACAUGCAAGUCGAACGAAGUAGCAAUACUUAGUGGCAGACGGGUGAGUAACAUGUAGGUAUCUGCCCUUUGGCCUGGAAUAACACGAGGAAACUUGUGCUAAUACCGGAUAAGUCUUUACGGAGAAAGCUUUAUGCACCAUUGGAUGAGCCUGCACUUGAUUAGUUUGUUGGUGGGGUAAUGGCCUACCAAGACUGUGAUCAAUAGCUGAUUUGAGAGGAUGAUCAGCCACAUUGGGACUGAGACACGGCCCAAACUCCUACGGGAGGCAGCAGUGGGGAAUCUUGCACAAUGGAGGAAACUCUGAUGCAGCGAUGCCGCGUGAGUGAAGAAGGCCCUUGGGUUGUAAAGCUCUUUCGUCGGGGAAGAAAAUGACUGUACCCGAAUAAGAAGGUCCGGCUAACUUCGUGCCAGCAGCCGCGGUAAUACGAAGGGACCUAGCGUAGUUCGGAAUUACUGGGCUUAAAGAGUUCGUAGGUGGUUGAAAAAGUUAGUGGUGAAAUCCCAGAGCUUAACUCUGGAACUGCCAUUAAAACUUUUCAGCUAGAGUAUGAUAGAGGAAAGCAGAAUUUCUAGUGUAGAGGUGAAAUUCGUAGAUAUUAGAAAGAAUACCAAUUGCGAAGGCAGCUUUCUGGAUCAUUACUGACACUGAGGAACGAAAGCAUGGGUAGCGAAGAGGAUUAGAUACCCUCGUAGUCCAUGCCGUAAACGAUGUGUGUUAGACGUUGGAAAUUUAUUUUCAGUGUCGCAGGGAAACCGAUAAACACACCGCCUGGGGAGUACGACCGCAAGGUUAAAACUCAAAUGAAUUGACGGGGACCCGCACAAGUAGUGGAGCAUGUGGUUUAAUUCGAAGAUACGCGCAGAACCUUACCAACACUUGACAUGUUCGUCGCGACUCUAAGAGAUUAGAGUUUUCGGUUCGGCCGGACGAAACACAGGUGCUGCAUGGCUGUCGUCAGCUCGUGUCGUGAGAUGUUGGGUUAAGUCCCGCAACGAGCGCAACCCUCACUUUUAGUUGCCAUCAUUAAGUUGGGCACUCUGAAAGAACUGCCAGUGAUAAGCUGGAGGAAGGUGGGGAUGACGUCAAGUCCUCAUGGCCCUUACGUGUUGGGCUACACACGUGCUACAAUGGUAUCUACAACAGGAAGCAA